This 531-nucleotide ribosomal RNA is filed under the name Nostoc sp. JRD1. Its description in RNAcentral is "bacterial SSU rRNA". It matches the Rfam family "Bacterial small subunit ribosomal RNA", at positions 120 to 684 of the family's 1533-position model. Lineage: Bacteria; Bacillati; Cyanobacteriota; Cyanophyceae; Nostocales; Nostocaceae. The record is from RNAcentral.
AGAAUCUAGCUUCAGGUCGGGGACAACCACUGGAAACGGUGGCUAAUACCGGAUGUGCCGAAAGGUGAAAGAUUUAUUGCCUGAAGAUGAGCUCGCGUCUGAUUAGCUAGUUGGUGUGGUAAGAGCGCACCAAGGCGACGAUCAGUAGCUGGUUUGAGAGGAUGAUCAGCCACACUGGGACUGAGACACGGCCCAGACUCCUACGGGAGGCAGCAGUGGGGAAUUUUCCGCAAUGGGCGAAAGCCUGACGGAGCAAUACCGCGUGAGGGAGGAAGGCUCUUGGGUUGUAAACCUCUUUUCUCAGGGAAUAAAAAAAUGAAGGUACCUGAGGAAUAAGCAUCGGCUAACUCCGUGCCAGCAGCCGCGGUAAUACGGAGGAUGCAAGCGUUAUCCGGAAUGAUUGGGCGUAAAGCGUCCGCAGGUGGCACUGUAAGUCUGCUGUUAAAGAGCAAGGCUCAACCUUGUAAAGGCAGUGGAAACUACAGAGCUAGAGUACGUUCGGGGCAGAGGGAAUUCCUGGUGUAGCGGUGA